Molecule: non-coding RNA, 76 nt
Organism: Acanthosepion pharaonis
Lineage: Eukaryota; Metazoa; Mollusca; Cephalopoda; Sepiida; Sepiidae
Source: the annotation of a GenBank genome assembly
AUCACCAAAGUUAAGCAACAUCGAGCCUAGUCAGUACCUAGAUGGGUGACCACUUGGGAAUACUAGGUGUUGUAAG